GACGAACGCUGGCGGCGUGCUUAACACAUGCAAGUCGAACGGAAAGGCCCUGCUUUUGUGGGGUGCUCGAGUGGCGAACGGGUGAGUAACACGUGAGUAACCUGCCCUUGACUUUGGGAUAACUUCAGGAAACUGGGGCUAAUACCGGAUAGGAGCUCCUGCUGCAUGGUGGGGAUUGGAAAGUUUCGGCGGUUGGGGAUGGACUCGCGGCUUAUCAGCUUGUUGGUGGGGUAGUGGCUUACCAAGGCUUUGACGGGUAGCCGGCCUGAGAGGGUGACCGGCCACAUUGGGACUGAGAUACGGCCCAGACUCCUACGGGAGGCAGCAGUGGGGAAUAUUGCACAAUGGGCGGAAGCCUGAUGCAGCAACGCCGCGUGCGGGAUGACGGCCUCCGGGUUGUAAACCGCUUUCGCCUGUGACGAAGCGUGAGUGACGGUAAUGGGUAAAGAAGCACCGGCUAACUACGUG
Molecule: ribosomal RNA, 468 nt
Filed under: uncultured bacterium
Lineage: Bacteria
Description: partial 16S ribosomal RNA
Rfam family: Bacterial small subunit ribosomal RNA
Source: RNAcentral